Molecule: ribosomal RNA, 497 nt
Filed under: uncultured bacterium
Lineage: Bacteria
Description: partial 16S ribosomal RNA
Rfam family: Bacterial small subunit ribosomal RNA
Source: RNAcentral
GACGAACGCUGGCGGCGUGCCUAAUACAUGCAAGUUGAGCGCUGAAGGUUGGUACUUGUACCAACUGGAUGAGCAGCGAACGGGUGAGUAACGCGUGGGGAAUCUGCCUUUGAGCGGGGGACAACAUUUGGAAACGAAUGCUAAUACCGCAUAAAAACUUUAAACACAAGUUUUAAGUUUGAAAGAUGCAAUUGCAUCACUCAAAGAUGAUCCCGCGUUGUAUUAGCUAGUUGGUGAGGUAAAGGCUCACCAAGGCGAUGAUACAUAGCCGACCUGAGAGGGUGAUCGGCCACAUUGGGACUGAGACACGGCCCAAACUCCUACGGGAGGCAGCAGUAGGGAAUCUUCGGCAAUGGACGAAAGUCUGACCGGGCAACGCCGCGUGAGUGAAGAAGGUUUUCGGAUCGUAAAACUCUGUUGGUAGAGAAGAACGGUUGUGAGAGUGGAAAGCUCAUCAAGUGACGGUAACUACCCAGAAAGGGACGGCUAACUACGUG